AUUGAACGCUGGCGGCAUGCCUUACACAUGCAAGUCGAACGGUAACAGGUCUUCGGAUGCUGACGAGUGGCGAACGGGUGAGUAAUACAUCGGAACGUGCCUAGUAGUGGGGGAUAACUACUCGAAAGAGUGGCUAAUACCGCACGAGAUCUACGGAUGAAAGCCAGGGAUCGCAAGACCUUGUGCUACUAGCUCGGCCGAUGGCAGAUUAGGUAGCUGGUGGGAUAAAAGCUUACCAAGCCGACGAUCUGUAGAUGGUCUGAGAGGACGAUCAGACACACUGGGACUGAGACACGGCCAAGACUCCUACGGGAGGCAGCAGUGGGGAAUUUUGGACAAUGGGCGAAAGCCUGAUCCAGCAAUGCCGCGUGCAGGAUGAAGGCCUUCGGGUUGUAAACUGCUUUUGUACGGAACGAAAAGCCCCGGGUUAAUACCCUGGGGUCAUGACGGUACCGUAAGAAUAAGCACCGGCUAACUACGUGCCAGCCGCCGCCGUAA
Molecule: ribosomal RNA, 498 nt
Filed under: uncultured bacterium
Lineage: Bacteria
Description: partial 16S ribosomal RNA
Rfam family: Bacterial small subunit ribosomal RNA
Source: RNAcentral